AGACAGACAGUCAGUCAGUCAGUCAGACAGACAGACAGGCAGACAGACAGACAGUCAGACAGACAGACAGACAGACAGACAGUCAGACAGACACACAGGCAGACAGACAGACAGGCAGACAGACAGACAGUCAGACAGACAGACAGACAGACAGACACACAGGCAGACAGACAGACAGGCAGACAGACAGACAGUCAGACAGACAGACAGACAGACAGACAGACAGGCAGACAGACAUGGGUGAAAACAUUAACAUCCUUGAUGGAGGUGAAACGGUAUGAUCGAGAAUCAAUAAUGCAUCACAGAGCAUGAAAAUACCUUUUUUGGAUUUACAAAACAUUUGUAAAAUCAAAAGGACGGUUGCUGAAGGUCGCUCAGACGGUAAUAACUCAUUUCAGAUGGAAGUGGAAGGUUACUGUUUGUCCGGGCCGAGCUACCAGCUGCUCCCUCUCAGGGGUUCUGUGGAACCUUCAGCACAGCGACAAAAAGUCAAUAAAGUGAGCCUUUUCCAGCGAGUAAAUGGGAGUGUUUUCUGAAGUCCAACAUCAAUAUUGACAGUGGGGGGAAGUCCUGUGGCCCGGCCCGCAGCUUCCACAGCAGGAAGGUUCUGCAACAGUCCUCGCUUUGUGUUUCUACCCACUGCACCAGCUGCUGCACUACAACUUCUGCAAAAGACUCGUAGGUAUCGUUUCAUUUUCUUUCACUGAGCAGUGUUCAGUCAGAAAUGUGUCUCUAGUCUGUUCUGCUGCUGUAUAAACUGAGUCAGAGUGUAAGAAUACGCUUCAGAUUGUUCAUUAAUAACCUUCAUGCAGAUAUUAUACGAGAAUGAGACUUCUAUCAUUGUUCUGCAGAUCUGUUCUGAUCCUCUGAUGAACAUGUUGAGAGUCUGUCUCACUGCAGCUCUGCUAGUCUGCUACGGACUGCUAAGUUGUUCUUCUGAACAUGACAAGAGAGAAGCUGAAGAUCUGAAGAAUGGCGACAGUAACAUCGAGGUGAAGAGGAAUUACACCACAGCGAAUAGCGGGAGACCUCAGACUGUAACUCUGAGGAAGAAGGUCAAGAAGACAGGAAGUAAGAUGCGACCAAGAAGUGACAUCAGCUGCACAGAACUGGGAGGCAUCUGCCAGCCCAACAGGUUCAUCUGCCAAGGCCGGUACCUGGCAGACAGGUGUUCUGGAGCGAAGCCGCGGCAGUGUUGUACUCCAGGUACAGUGACACAGGUUAUUACAGUAGAUACUGAUUGGUACUGA
RNAcentral lists this long non-coding RNA (1250 nucleotides) under Sparus aurata (gilthead seabream). RNAcentral describes it as "lncRNA (ENSSAUG00010018658.1)". Lineage: Eukaryota; Metazoa; Chordata; Actinopteri; Spariformes; Sparidae. The record is from RNAcentral.